UCUGGGUCCAACCUCCCACCCGUGUUUAUUUUACCUUGUUGCUUCGGCGGGCCCGCCUUAACUGGCCGCCGGGGGGCUUACGCCCCCGGGCCCGCGCCCGCCGAAGACACCCUCGAACUCUGUCUGAAGAUUGUAGUCUGAGUGAAAAUAUAAAUUAUUUAAAACUUUCAACAACGGAUCUCUUGGUUCCGGCAUCGAUGAAGAACGCAGCGAAAUGCGAUACGUAAUGUGAAUUGCAAAUUCAGUGAAUCAUCGAGUCUUUGAACGCACAUUGCGCCCCCUGGUAUUCCGGGGGGCAUGCCUGUCCGAGCGUCAUUGCUGCCCUCAAGCACGGCUUGUGUGUUGGGCCCCGUCCUCCGAUCCCGGGGGACGGGCCCGAAAGGCAGCGGCGGCACCGCGUCCGGUCCUCGAGCGUAUGGGGCUUUGUCACCCGCUCUGUAGGCCCGGCCGGCGCUUGCCGAUCAACCCAAAUUUUUAUCCAGGUUGACCUCGGAUCAGGUAGGGAUACCCGCUGAACUUAAGCAUAU
RNAcentral lists this ribosomal RNA (527 nucleotides) under Penicillium chrysogenum. RNAcentral's name for it is "eukaryotic LSU rRNA". The stretch from base 163 to 315 matches the Rfam family "5.8S ribosomal RNA". RNAcentral also lists the same sequence under 1 other name. Lineage: Eukaryota; Fungi; Ascomycota; Eurotiomycetes; Eurotiales; Aspergillaceae. The record is from RNAcentral.